UGGGUGUAAGGUUAUCUAGUAUAUAGGAGACUUUUUUCUGUGUGAGACUAUUCUUAAAUUUCUCAACCAGUCCAUAUAAUUUGAUUCGAUUAAGUUAUUUGCAUCGAGUAUGCCAUGAAUGUUGGGUUUCGGUGGUACAGUGAAAGAGCUAGGGUGUUUAAAAUUUUCAUUCAAAACACUAGAUGCAAUGAAACCCUAAUAUCCAAGAACCCUUGACUAUGACAAUCAAAGCAUAAUUAAAUUAAACUUGUUUAAGAAGAAUACUUAU
Molecule: long non-coding RNA, 268 nt
Filed under: Elaeis guineensis (African oil palm)
Lineage: Eukaryota; Viridiplantae; Streptophyta; Magnoliopsida; Arecales; Arecaceae
Description: long non-coding RNA (EGUI_LNC047951)
Source: RNAcentral